This 253-nucleotide ribosomal RNA is filed under the name uncultured organism. RNAcentral's name for it is "partial 16S ribosomal RNA". It matches the Rfam family "Bacterial small subunit ribosomal RNA", at positions 524 to 776 of the family's 1533-position model. The record is from RNAcentral.
UACGUAGGGACCAAGCGUUGUUCGGAUUUACUGGGUGUAAAGGGCGUGUAGGCGGUCCGCUAAGUCUGAUGUGAAAGCCCGGGGCUCACCCCCGGAAGUGCAUUGGAAACUGGCGAACUCGAGUCCCGGAGAGGAGGGUGGAAUUCCUGGUGUAGCGGUGAAAUGCGUAGAUAUCAGGAGGAACACCGGUGGCGAAGGCGGCCUUCUGGACGGUGACUGACGCUGAGACGCGAAAGCGUGGGGAGCAAACAGG